GGGCCGGUGGCGCAGACUGGUAGCGCGCCCCCUUGGCAUGGGGGAGGUCGGGGGUUCGAAUCCCCCCCGGUCCACCA
RNAcentral lists this transfer RNA (77 nucleotides) under Thermoproteota archaeon. Its description in RNAcentral is "tRNA-Ala". It matches the Rfam family "tRNA". Rfam says of the family: Transfer RNA (tRNA) molecules are approximately 80 nucleotides in length. Their secondary structure includes four short double-helical elements and three loops (D, anti-codon, and T loops). Further hydrogen bonds mediate the characteristic L-shaped molecular structure. tRNAs have two regions of fundamental functional importance: the anti-codon, which is responsible for specific mRNA codon recognition, and the 3' end, to which the tRNAs corresponding amino acid is attached (by aminoacyl-tRNA synthetases). tRNAs cope with the degeneracy of the genetic code in two manners: having more than one tRNA (with a specific anti-codon) for a particular amino acid; and 'wobble' base-pairing, i.e. permitting non-standard base-pairing at the 3rd anti-codon position. The record is from RNAcentral. Lineage: Archaea; Thermoproteati; Thermoproteota.